AAUUGCGACACCAGGCUCUGCCUGCUGUCACGCCUGGCCGAGAGUCGGCAUUAAAUCUAUCACGACGCUUAAUUAGUCGUGGCUUGGUUUGUUGUCAGCCGUCGUGUUGCCUUUUCAACGUAUUGCCUAGUUGUUAAGUCGACGGAGUUUGUGACGCUUACCGAAUCUAAUGGAGAGUGCUUGCCUUGGCUUAGCCGGCUGCCUUUAGCGGCUGCUAUGCUGUCGCGCAUCUGUUCUUUGAUUGCUUCUAAUAAUCAGAUGUGGACGGCUGGUCUGUCGCUAGAUGAGCGUGUUUUCCGGUUGUCAAUCGCUAUGACGUGGGAAUUUCGAUAAGCAUUUAUGAAUUAUAUUUACAAUUGCCAUUAUCAUAAAUGUGGUUCUCCUGAGCCUGUUGGCCUCGGGUUGUGCGGUGACCAAUGUUGCUUUACGUGCGUGCAUGACUGGUCGCAGCCUAUCGUGAUCGCGACCAUUUGUUAUGCUUUUCUUGUGCACAUGAGUUUGGUUACUGCUCCUUGCGCAUGAGCGCAAGGCCAAUCCGACGUGAGACCGUUUGCCCAUGUCAGGUGCAGCUUGCACUACUUCUCUGGUCUGUAGUUGCAUAUUGGUGUCACAAGUAUUCCGGAGGAAUGUUGUGUGUUCACCUGGCCUCGGAUUAGGCGUGAUGACC
RNAcentral lists this unclassified non-coding RNA (667 nucleotides) under Afrodiplozoon polycotyleus. Its description in RNAcentral is "sequence contains 5.8S rRNA gene and ITS2 and 28S rRNA gene". Lineage: Eukaryota; Metazoa; Platyhelminthes; Monogenea; Mazocraeidea; Diplozoidae. The record is from RNAcentral.